This 253-nucleotide ribosomal RNA is filed under the name uncultured bacterium. Its description in RNAcentral is "partial 16S ribosomal RNA". It matches the Rfam family "Bacterial small subunit ribosomal RNA", at positions 524 to 776 of the family's 1533-position model. The record is from RNAcentral.
UACGAAGGGGGCUAGCGUUGCUCGGAAUCACUGGGCGUAAAGGGUGCGUAGGCGGGUUUUUAAGUCAGGGGUGAAAUCCUGGAGCUCAACUCCAGAACUGCCUUUGAUACUGGCGAUCUCGAGUCCGGGAGAGGUGAGUGGAACUGCGAGUGUAGAGGUGAAAUUCGUAGAUAUUCGCAAGAACACCAGUGGCGAAGGCGGCUCGCUGGCCCGGUACUGACGCUGAGGUGCGAAAGCGUGGGGAGCAAACAGG